Cinara cedri is the source of this 609-nucleotide non-coding RNA. The record is from the annotation of a GenBank genome assembly. NCBI's taxonomy places the organism in Eukaryota, Metazoa, Arthropoda, Insecta, Hemiptera, Aphididae.
CUUUGAAAUAAUAUAUUUUACAAAAUUACUACUUUGAAAAUUUGUAAAAGUGAGAUAUAAUGUUAUUCUGUGCUUUUAAGUGAUAAAAUUAAAAAUUAAAAUUUUCUUUACAUUUGUGUUCCUCUUACAAAUAACUAUUGAAAAAAUAAAAAUAAAUAUUGACAAGAGUUAUUAGCAUUCAGAUAACACUGUAGGACAUUCUGUAGAGUAUCUUGUUGAUUAAUUUAUAUUAUAUUUUUUUUAAAUUAUUUAACCAAAUAUUUGAUCUUUUUUUUAUUGUAUCUGUUAAAUUUAUAUGAAAUUAACUUUUCAGGAUGUUCCAUUAAGGUUGGAAAUUGGACCUACAGAUUAAGAUCAUAGACAAAUUACAGCUGCCCAGUGAGAUAUUGGUGAAAAGUAAAAUAUCAUUAGACAUGCAUGCCAAUGCCAAUAAAAAAUGUUUAAAACCCUACUAGUGGAUAAAAUCGACAAAUUACUAGAACAAAUACAACAAGAAAUGUUAGCAGAUGCAGAAUAAGAAAUAAAAACAAUGUUAUAGUAUGUGAUAAAUGGUCAGAUUGUCAUUCAUUGGAGGAAUAAUGUUAAUACUGUUAUCAUUUUGUGAAUAAC